CGGACGACGCUGGCGGCGUGGAUUAGGCAUGCAAGUCGGACGGUAGGGCUUUAUCGUAAGAUAGAGUUUGAGAGUGGCGAACGGGUGAGUAACACGUAGGAAUCUACCCUUAAGACGGGGACAACCCAGGGAAACUUGGGCUAAUACCGGAUGAGAGUGCGAGAGAUUGCAUUUAAAAGGAUGGCGAAAGUUGUCGCUUAGGGAUGAGCCUGCGGUCUAUUAGUUAGUUGGUGAGGUAAGAGCUCACCAAGGCGAUGAUAGAUAGGCGGCCUUAACGGGUGGUCGCCCACACUGGGAUUGAGAUACGGCCCAGACUCCUACGGGAGGCAGCAGUCGAGAAUAGUCUACAAUGGCCGGAAGGCUGAUAGUGCGACGCCGCGUGAACGAGGGAGCCCUUCGGGGUGUAAACUUCUGUUGGAUGGGAAAAAAAGCCUAGGAAUAGGAAUUGAUGGUACCAUUCGAGUAAGCACCGGCUAACUACGUG
RNAcentral lists this ribosomal RNA (484 nucleotides) under uncultured bacterium. RNAcentral describes it as "bacterial SSU rRNA". It matches the Rfam family "Bacterial small subunit ribosomal RNA", at positions 33 to 507 of the family's 1533-position model. The record is from RNAcentral.